AUUGAACGCUGGCGGCAUGCUUUACACAUGCAAGUCGAACGGUAACAGGGAGCUUGCUCCGCUGACGAGUGGCGAACGGGUGAGUAAUGCAUCGGAACGUACCCAGUCGUGGGGGAUAACGUAGCGAAAGUUGCGCUAAUACCGCAUACGUCCUGAGGGAGAAAGCGGGGACCGUAAGGCCUCGCGCGAUUGGAGCGGCCGAUGUCGGAUUAGCUAGUUGGUGGGGUAAAGGCCUACCAAGGCGACGAUCCGUAGCGGGUCUGAGAGGAUGAUCCGCCACACUGGGACUGAGACACGGCCCAG
Molecule: ribosomal RNA, 303 nt
Filed under: uncultured bacterium
Lineage: Bacteria
Description: bacterial SSU rRNA
Rfam family: Bacterial small subunit ribosomal RNA
Source: RNAcentral